AAACUAUUUUUUACACGUACAGAAUUAUUAAAAGCAAGACGUCAAAUAAUUAAAUAUCGUUUUUAAUUCUAGCAUUAUUUCAGUGUUAGUGUAUGAAUUGAUAAAUAAAUAAAAAAAGAAUAAGAAUGAGAAUGGAAUAGAGGCUUUGAAAAAGCGGGAGAGAAAGUAUGAGAGAGAGGGGAAAAGAAGAGAAAGCAGUGUUCUAGCUGUCAGCUUAUUACUGCAAUCACCUCACGCAAUCGCCCGUAUCAAACGGUGAGUUGCGCCGGCCCUCCUUCACUGCUAUACGCGCCCGGUUAUUGGAUAACUAUUUCUUUUUAUUAUUUAAAAACUACGCUUCGGACAAAUUUUUGCCAAAGAAAAAGUUGUUUCAGAAUAACCUCAGAAAUAUGCCUCUUCAAGGACAUAAGAUUAUUCUGAAUCAGCCUGUAUAUUAAUGCAAUAUUUCUAUAACACAAAAAUCAAAUACUUUUAUCAAUAAAAAGUUAAAAGCUAGAAAUAUUGUGCAAAUAUAUUAAUAAAAUGCAAUAUUAUAAAAAAAUAAAAAAUUAUUUACUUCCAAUUUUAGCACCUUCACCAGCCAAGCUGGGCUCAGUUGUACAUUGUGAAUUUUUCACACCGACAUAACUAUUGAAAUAAAAAGCGCUAUUGUGGCGCCAUAUUUCUCUACCAAAAAAGUUUUUGAGGCGGGAUAUAGGCACAUGUACCAUGUACUGUACCGGCGUACGCAAUGCGAGAAAUUUUGCUCGAGUGACCUUACAUUGGCUAGUAGGGGGUUUUCUGCUCGGGAUCAACUUUGACCAUUUUCAUAUAUCCUCCUUUGUGCUAUUUUAGAAUCAAUCUAAUUCUUAUUAUAAAGAAUCUGACUACCUAACAAAAUUAGCGAUAUAGUAGAUCGGUUUUUAAAAUCGUGUUUAAAAAAAUGCAAUUUUUUCGACUUUUAAUGUUAAAGAAUUAAUUUGUAGUUUUAUCGCCUAUUAAAGUGUUAAAAUUAAGAGUUAUAAAACGCAUUAUUAGUUUUAUACUGUUACGUUCUUCGACCUUCGCAUCCUACUAGUCAGCUAAAGUUAAUCGAUAUUGCGUCCAGCUGUGGAUGAUCGAUAUGGAACGGUCGGCAGAAAAGAAGAUAGUUUCUCUGACGGCGUUAAUCUACAAGACAUCGUAUUUGGAUCAAGCUUUGAAACUGAACGGAUAUUUCACGAGCAGUUCUAAUUUACAAAUUUACAUUUUGUGUAUCAAGUGUUACUUUGUUAAGUUACGAAUUAAAUAUCUUCUUUCAUAAAA
Long non-coding RNA from Solenopsis invicta (red fire ant), 1284 nucleotides. RefSeq lists it as uncharacterized. The record is from RefSeq and is a predicted model, not a curated record. The transcript is spliced from 2 exons. NCBI's taxonomy places the organism in Eukaryota, Metazoa, Arthropoda, Insecta, Hymenoptera, Formicidae.